UUACUACUCCCUCCAUUCCGAAUUACUACUUGUCUUAGAUUUGUCUAGAUAUGGAUGUAUCUAGACACGUUCUACUGUUAGAUACAUCUGUAUCUAGACAAAUCUAAGACAAGUAAUUUGGGAUGGAGGUAAUACCUG
Molecule: non-coding RNA, 138 nt
Organism: Triticum aestivum (bread wheat)
Lineage: Eukaryota; Viridiplantae; Streptophyta; Magnoliopsida; Poales; Poaceae
Source: Rfam